This is a non-coding RNA of Salmo salar (Atlantic salmon), 3872 nucleotides long. The record is from RefSeq and is a predicted model, not a curated record. NCBI's taxonomy places the organism in Eukaryota, Metazoa, Chordata, Actinopteri, Salmoniformes, Salmonidae.
GUGUGUGUGUGUGUGUGUGUGUGUGGACUGAUUAUGGACUGAGCUGUGAGAGUCUAGGUUGGAACCCUGGAGGUAGAAACACAACCCAACUCUGAACUGAACUCCCAGAAUGAGUCUAGACAGACGGAGGGAAACGGCCCCAUGAUAUAAGAGACUGGACUCAUAUGAACCACACAGACAUAUUGACAUAGAUAUUAUCUCCUGUUUGUAGCCACUAUCUCCAUUUCAAAGAGAUCUACUGAAGAGACUAUUAGAGAGAGAGACCAUACAUUUCCUUUAUUUGUGUGAGUAUUGGGCCGAGCAGAACCAAGGAUAGUAUGUGUGUUUCAGCUGCUGGUUCUGUUUUGGUUUACAGAUGCUGAAAUUGCCCUGAAGCCAUUUUUGAAUACAAAAACCUUCUCAUAAAAAAAACACACAGAAUGCUCAUGUAUGAAUUGGAUCCCAGGAAGUAUUCUGCCAUUUUGACAGAUACCUGAACAAUGAACAUGUUUACUUCACCUGUGUGUUUUGUGUAUCUCCCAAAGAUAGAUAUAUAAUUUGUAAUGUGGAUAUUUCAGACAUUGGACAGAAUAGCACAAAAAGAACCCUGUAAGAUGUUGACCACGUUAAGCUCAAUAUGUAUUCAUUCUAUGCUAGCCUAAGCUUUCUGUUCUGCUGAUGCCUGACCGUGGGGUCUCAUGAAGACUGUAUUUAUACUGGGUUGUAAAUAACACUGAACUCAGAAGUGCAUCUCGUUUUACAUGUUUUGUGUCUUUCUGUUCUUGAGAAAAAGUGUGAUGCUUUGGAAAACACACCGUGAUUGUCAGUCUGUAGGAUAUGUCUAUGGUGUUGGUUUAGCUGCAUCUUUGGUUCAAUUGAUAUAUUGGUCCUUGUGUAUCUGAAGAAGCUGCAGUGCUCAGAACGACCUGCAGGGGUCUCCCUCCCACUGAGAAACACUAGAUCAGUUCCUAUAGAACAGGGCUGGCCAGUAUUCUAACAGAGGGUCGGUAUGGUGUAGGCUUUUGCUCCAGCCAAGCAGAAACACACCUGAUUCAAUAUCCUCUGGUGGAUGUUAUCAUUGGAUGUUGAUGCAACACCACACACAUCUUUAAAUGCAGUGUUAACCUACAGCAGGGUUUCCCUGUGGUGUAGUAGGAGCUACACGAAGGUAUACGCCCUGAACCCCACAGAGGUUUAAACAGUGGUGUAGUAGGAGCUACACGGAGGUAUACGUCCUGAACCCCACAGAGGUUUAAACAGUGGUGUAGUAGGAGCUACACGGAGGUAUACGUCCUGAACCCCAAAGAGGUUUAAACAGUGGUGUAGUAGGAGCUACACGGAGGUAUACGCCCUGAACCCCACAGAGGUUUAAACAGUGGUGUAGUAGGAGGUAUACGCCCUGCGCCCCACAGAGGUUUAAACAGUGGUGUAGUAGGAGCUACACGGAGGUAUACGUCCUGAACCCCACAGAGGUUUAAACAGUAGUGUAGUAGGAGCAACACGGAGGUAUACGUCCUGAACCCCACAGAGGUUUAAACAGGGGUGUAGUAGGAGCUACACGGAGGUAUACGUCCUGAACCCCACAGAGGUUUAAACAGUGGUGUAGUAGGAGCUACACGGAGGUAUACGCCCUGCGCCCCACAGAGGUUUAAACAGUGGUGUAGUAGGAGCUACACGGAGGUAUACGCCCUGAACCCCACAGAGGUUUAAACAGUGGUGUAGUAGGAGGUAUACGUCCUGAACCCCACAGAGGUUUAAACAGUGGUGUAGUGGGAGCAACACGGAGGUAUACGUCCUGAACCCCACAGAGGUUUAAACAGUGGUGUAGUAGGAGCUACACGGAGGUAUACGUCCUGAACCCCACAGAGGUUUAAACAGUGGUGUAGUAGGAGCUACACGGAGGUAUACGUCCUGCGCCCCACAGAGGUUUAAACAGUGGUGUAGUAGGAGCUACACGGAGGUAUACGUCCUGAACCCCACAGAGGUUUAAACAGUGGUGUAGUAGGAGCUACACGGAGGUAUACGUCCUGAACCCCACAGAGGUUUAAACAGUGGUGUAGUAGGAGCUACACGGAGGUAUACGUCCUGAACCCCACAGAGGUUUAAUUAUGUGGUACAAUAGAGAAAGUAGCCUACACAAUCGCAAAGCACGUAAAAUAUAUUCACACGUUUGCUGCACACAGCCAAAUUUCAGCAGAAUUUCAUGGCAGUAAGAGCUGGUUGUCCCAUGGAGCAGCUCACAGCUGGUAGGUAGGACUUGCCUAGUUAAAUAAAGGUUAAAUGAAUCAAAUCAAAUGACAAUGGGUAAGCAAACCAGGUAUUGAAACCGUUUGGUCCAAAGUCUUGGUUGAAUCUUUGCAGUGUUCAAUUCAGUCAUCAUGUGCUGUUUUGAAUGAACAUUUCCAAAUGCUUUCCCAAGGAAAACGUCCUAAUUAAAGCUGCAAUAUGUAACUUUGGGCGACCCAACAAGUUCACAUUGACAUAUCUUUAACUCACAUUUCUUUCUCAUUGAAAGCAAGUCUAAUAAGUGGUAGAUAUGUUCUAUGUGCACUAUUUCUAUGCUUCCCAUUCUUAAGUUUAGUUUUUAUUUUGUUUUGUACACCAGUUUCAGAUGGCUGAAAAUACAAUAUUUUUGGUUAUGGAAAAUAUAUUGCAGAGGUUUAGAUGGUACAAAGAGACUCUAUACAAUUACUUAGUCACAUAAACUGAAAUUAACAGAAAUUAGGCGAACUUAGAAUUUUAGCAACCAGGAAAUGUCGGAGAUAUUUCUGUAUAGUGCAUCUUUAAAUGUUGACCGCAAGUUAGGCCUACGUGAUAUAAUUAUGAUUUGUAUCAAUCUGGAGGGCAUUUCUUUUGAAAACUCUUCCAUCACAUGUACUCUACUGUAGGUCUACAUUGUAGAGUACAGACACUGCCAGCCACAUGCUAUUUUGCUAGGUGCUUAAUUAUUUUAAAGGGCAACUAGACCCUCCCAAAAAUAUUCUUUUAGAUUUUUCCCAGACCUCAGAAAUGGUCUCCUUAUGUGGUAUAAGCAUUGAUGUGGGCUUAACAUGCAUUUGUUGUUUUUCUAUGAAAGAUUUUCUGUCAAAAUGAUGGUAUACUCACUUCUCCAGGCACCACUACACCAAUGGGUUUUCCUGUAUCUGUGAGUGAUUUCAUUUGGGACCUGAAUCUCCAACAGGCUUACUUCUGACAGGCUUGGUCUGUUUACUCGAUGGAUCAUCAUGCAUCACUCCCAUAGGCUGCUUCACUUGUCAAUCAUGUCUCUGCUAUCUCGCCCUCUAAUCUGCGAUAUCUCUCUCUCAAACACUCUGUCUCUCGUCGUCAACUCUUUCUUUCAGUAAGAUAUUAAGCAAGCUCUACUUCUCUUAUCCUACAGUAUCUUCACCUGUCUGACAAAUCAAGCAGAUGAGAAAAUAAAACAAUCUGAAGAGAACCACACAGGGUUGAAUUGAUGAAAGCUGAAGUCAUUUAGAAAUUUAACUUAUUGACUUAUUGUAAUGAAAUGUAACAUUAUUUUAAAUGAAAUGAUUUAUUAAUGCAAAACAUUGUCUUCUCUCCUUUGGUGUCUCCAACUCUAAUCUCAAUUACCUAGUUUCUAGUGCACAAGAAUGAAAAGUGUGUGUGGGGGGGAGGCACUUGACACCAGUCUGUGAUUUGUGUUUGUCCAUCGAUUAUUUCAUUGAUAAACACCCUGGUAGAUAUCGGGUGAUGGAGAGAUAAUAAUGUAUUGUUCCACUGAAGCCAAAUGCUAUCUAAGAGAAGUAUGUUUUCUGCUGCACACAGAAUGGACCAUUUACAGUAUUACACCGUUUUCUACACAUCUUAAAUCAGAAUGGACAUAUUACCACCCCCAGCUGCUCUCUCUUCCUCUCUCUCUUUUCCCCUCUUCC